Long non-coding RNA from Equus asinus (donkey), 1855 nucleotides. The record is from Ensembl. NCBI's taxonomy places the organism in Eukaryota, Metazoa, Chordata, Mammalia, Perissodactyla, Equidae.
ACCAUUUUUGCACUAAUUUCUGCGCCCCAAAUCAUAUGGGACAAUGUGAAGAAGGGCAGAUGACACCCGCAUGUGCACUAAGGUGUAUUACAAAUGAAGAACCCUGAGCUUAGGGAGCCCAAAUCUUUUAUAAUGGGCAGUAAGUCUGGCUGCCUUAGCGCCAGUGGGAGACAUUGUUUUUAUGAUACUGGACAGUAAUCAAACCUGCCCUUUCCUCUGGAGGGAACGCAAUUUUUCUCUUCCAAGGCUGUUUGCUAAAUUAAUAUCCUUGAAAAGAUAUUCCAGAACAAAAGGAAUCUGUGUCUCUGUUGGUAAGAGACACAGAUAUGCAGGAGACUUAUGGAGAAUUGUCUCCUAACACCACCAGAAAUAUUUAGUCAGCAUUUGGUUUGAAAGGGGCACAUGGCACAGUGCUCAGGAAAAUCAUCUGGUCUUCAAUCCUGUAAUGGCCAAACAGAACAUAAAGACAUGUCAAACGUAUGGACUUUUCCACAUCACCUUUCCUGGAAAGCACUUGUUUCCUAUUCAGGGGUCACGGACACAUUUGGCAGCAGAGAGCGGAGAGCGAUGCCACUGGACUUGUGUCUGCAUCACUUGCUGCCUGGGAACUGUUCUGCCAACCUGCCUUCUGGGCUCCCGCAGAAGGAGUAUAAUGAAGAAACCAUCCACUCUGGAGUUGGAGAUUUCUGGCAUCCCAUUCAUGUUUAGCAGACGUUGACUUUGAUCGAGGCAUUGUACUCAUGUAAAGCAUGCUGUGUGACGCCUGUGAUUAUGAUGGCUCUUAAAAUCCUUUGAUUUUUGAGAGGGGUAGACUUACUCUCUAACUUAAAAAUUUUGAUUAAACCUAUGUAAUUCAGCGUUGGAACUGGCAUGCAGAGAGGGUGCUAAAUCUAACAUUUUUGAGUAAUUAUGAAAAUAUGGCUGUUGAAUCUAAGAGUCAAGACGGUAACUGAUUCCCAGCUGUAAUCUAGUAUAAUGCCAGGGAAAUCAGAUGGGAUCCUGGCUGGUUUCCACUUCCUGAGGCUUUUUAUUCUGAGUUUAUUUUUAAGACUAAUUAUCCUCACCUACAUAAACUUCCUGGAUUCCAGAAUACGUAAUUGGCUGGUCAAGUGUCUCUGCUAUCCAGAUGAGAGUUACCUAUCACGCAUCCUCAAAGGGACCCAAAAUUUGGACCAGAUGCCACCCAUUCAGAUGUGACAAGAGGAACAGAAGCGUUAAAUUGUGGCAGUAUUGGCCAACAUGUGUAGCUCAUUGUUGCAAACAAGUGCUCAGCCAAUGGAGUGGCAUAUUGUCAUUGUGACCCAUAACUGUUGGAAGAGUUCCAGAAAUGACAUAAGGAAUUAUGCAUUAAUACAGAGCAGGUGGCAGAAGAAGAUCAUAGCUGGGUGCUGGCAACAUGAAGAUCUUUGAGGACGUGACAAGAGCAGCCUCCGCAGUGUGAUAGGAAAUGAAACCUGAGCGCAGCGAGGGGGGCAGAGAUGUUGAAAUGAGAAAGUCAUGACAACCUCCACAGAUACCUCUUUCCAGAGGCUUUGCUGUGAAGACUGAAACAACUGGGAACUUAUGUGGGAUGAAGAGCUGCCUCCAGUGGUCUCGGCAGUGUCUCAAGUCUCCUGUCGGGUAGAUUCUUGCAGAAUGAGGCUGGAAGUGCCACUCAGAGGAUCUGAUUCUAACCUCUGCAUAAGCAAAAACCCAGGCCUUGUGUUCCUCAAUUGGAGCCUGGGCUCUCAUAUGCCACUUAUUUUUUCUUAAGUGGAGCAAAGAUUGUGUCAAUAAAAGCAAAGAACACUUGUUUCAUAUAUAUUUAAAGCUGACGAGUACUUUGUAUAUCACAUUAAGUAGGAAAUUGCUCCAG